This is a long non-coding RNA of Oreochromis niloticus (Nile tilapia), 2203 nucleotides long. NCBI's taxonomy places the organism in Eukaryota, Metazoa, Chordata, Actinopteri, Cichliformes, Cichlidae. The record is from Ensembl.
AUGUACCAGGCAGCUGUCUCCAAGCGGGCAGACAACACCAUCCCCAGCGGGGUCAUGGAGGAGUCGGGGGUCUGUUCCCUGCCUGGGGGACUUGCAAGUGUGAGGAAACAAUUUGAGACCCAGGAAACUGCAUCAUCACAUAAUGUAACCCAGUUUCAUUUCCAUCACAGAACCGUGCAGGAAAUGUCCCAUUCAGAGGUGACAGAGUCAAGUGACACCAGGCAGGUCCUCCCAGGCAGUCAGCAGCUAAAUUUCAAUCAAGAAAUGAUGGUAAAUAAUCAUUCCGCUCACUGUUUUCUUGCAGGCAGUGCAAUAAGGCUCGCUAAUGAUGUAAACUCAUUGAUUGCUUUGUUGAGUAAAAACUGUAACUAAUAGAAAUCCGUCUGACUGGUGUAAUAAAUGUGUGUUUAGUAGUCUUUAACAGCUUGAGCGGAGAUUAAAAACAUUAUUUUUAGUGGAAAAAUGUGCAGGACGUGAAGGAUGAUGCUUACUUAUUACAUUUCUGUCCAUCUCUGUGCAGUUUCUCCCCUAAUUUCUCUUUACCCGUUCCCAUUUUAAUUGCUCACAGGUGUCAUAUAGCGACAACAACUUGGCAUCCACUUAUGAAAACCAUCAAAAUGAAACAGGUAGCAUGCCUUUUCUAUAGGCUUUUCUGUAUCACCUGUCACUACUGCGCUGAUUAAAGCCUUGCCUUUGCUGUUUUUGGCUGUGCUGACUUCUAGAAGAGGAGUUUCCCAGGUACACAACAAAAGAACUGAGGGAUCACUUUGAAAGAACAAUAGAAGAGGCUGCGCCACAAAAAUCAAUUAAGGUAAUGAUUUGCACUUAACUAUUAAGAACAUGAAAUUAAGGAAUCUUUAUUUCGGACUGUUUAAUUGGAACUUGGAACUGUUACAUUUUUUAAAGUUACAUGAAGUUAAAGCUGUUUUAUUCUACAAAUUGGGCUGUUUAAUUGUCAAAAAUACAAUGAAAGCAUUACUUUAUAUGUUUAUUUAUUCAAAUGUAAACAAACAAACAAACAAACACCAAUGACAGUAUAGCUCUGCAAGGGGUUGGAGGUGUACACACUCCUGCAACAUACCACUGGAGUUUCUGCCUUUAUUCUUUCAAUGCUUAGGAACUGAUCUGCUGUCGAGAACUGCAGAAAAUAAACAUGAUCUUGUAUUCUUGACAUAUUAAAUGAAUAAUGUGACAAGGCAAUAAAAGUCUGCAGAUUUUGGCCAUUUGAAUAUUUUUAAUAUGAAGCAACAGCAGUAGGAAAAGUUCUGUUUGCAUUAUCAGUAAGCACUGAGGCAAAUAACUGCUGUAGGAGAUCUACAGAAAUGCUGCAGUCCUGCAUACAUCUCCAUGUUUAAGUUGAAGCAACCAGAAUCCAGUGUGGGAGUGACAGACUCUGUCAUUACAUUAUAACACUACAGGGAGAGAUAGUUGCUAAAAAAAAAAUGAAUAGAAUAUUUGUGGUCAAAAUAUUGAUAAUAGUACUGAGAAGGUGGUUGAUUUAACAUCUUUAGGUAUAGCAUUAACUCUUCUUAGUGAUUCCUUUGCUUGAGGAAAGAAAAAAGAUGAAAAUCACACAGUUCCAUUUAUUUUAGUAAAACUGGCAGUCUGCUGUGUAAGAUUAUGCAUGCUUGUCUUUCAUGAUCAAAUUUAGCAGCAAGUUUCACAACUCGUGGAAGUUCAAUUUAUAUAUAUACGAAAUCAUGACAAUUUAGAGGAAAGACCUACCCCUUAACCCUGACAAUAUGGGAACCCAGUCACUGGUAUGUUUUUAGGUCCACUUGUCCCCUUGGUGCAGGGUGAGGAGAAAAAUUUUCCAAGAGGCCACACAAGAAACAGACCGCAUCAAUAAUUAAUAUUGAGCAGAAUUGAGUUCAGGUUAUUGAUGUGACCAUUCCCAGGUUCUCAUGUUGGAAAAAUUUAUUGCUCACCCUACCUUUAAAGAAAUGCGUCAGUACAAAGUUGUUCUGAGUAUUCAUGUUUAUAAUAUGAUAAAUUGUUUUUAUCCUGAUGGGAGUGGUCUGUUCCAGGAUGGCAGUGUUCCCUUCCAUGUGUUCAAGAGGGGUCAUACAGUGUUUUAUUGAAAUGUAUGGAGAUGAUGUCAAUCAUAUAUCUUGACCCAAUUAAAUAACAGAAUGCUGACUUACCUAAGAUCCUAGAUACUUUCUUUACAGUAAAUGUGUCACUUAUCUGUAAUUCCUAGUUU